CUGGUGACACGAGUUCAAUAUCGAAAUCGGUAGACGCUACGGACUUAAAUUUUGAGCCUUAGGAGAGAAAUUUCCUAAGUGACUGUUUUCACACUCAGGGAAACCUAAUGUUUGAGAUAUGAGAUAAUCCUGAGCCAAAUUUUAGUUAUGAGAUAGGUGCAGAGACUCAAAGGAAACUAUCCUAACGAACAAGCUUUUUCUCUAUUUUUUAGUAUCAGUAUUGAAUACAAAAUAUAUUUGAAAUAAUAAAAAUAUAUGAAUAUUAGUUUUAAAUAACUUCUAAUAGACGAGGAUAAAGAUAGAGUCCUUUUUUACAAUUUAUAUAAUUUUACUUAAAUAUAAUUUUUAUUUAUAGCUAUAGCUAAUUGUAAAAAGAAAAUCCGUUGGCUUUAAUAGACCUUGAGGGUUCAAGUCC
This 415-nucleotide non-coding RNA is filed under the name Drepanolejeunea vesiculosa. RNAcentral describes it as "partial tRNA-Leu". The stretch from base 37 to 325 matches the Rfam family "Group I catalytic intron". Rfam says of the family: Group I catalytic introns are large self-splicing ribozymes. They catalyse their own excision from mRNA, tRNA and rRNA precursors in a wide range of organisms. The record is from RNAcentral. Lineage: Eukaryota; Viridiplantae; Streptophyta; Jungermanniopsida; Porellales; Lejeuneaceae.